RNAcentral lists this ribosomal RNA (199 nucleotides) under uncultured bacterium. RNAcentral's name for it is "partial 16S ribosomal RNA". It matches the Rfam family "Bacterial small subunit ribosomal RNA", at positions 335 to 526 of the family's 1533-position model. The record is from RNAcentral.
ACUCCUACGGGAGGCAGCAGUGGGGAAUUUUGGACAAUGGGCGCAAGCCUGAUCCAGCAAUGCCGCGUGCAGGAUGAAGGCCUUCGGGUUGUAAACUGCUUUUGUACGGAGCGAAACGGUCUUUCCUAAUACGAGAGGCUAAUGACGGUACCGUAAGAAUAAGCACCGGCUAACUACGUGCCAGCAGCCGCGGUAAUAC